AUUGAACGCUGGCGGCAUGCUUUACACAUGCAAGUCGAACGGCAGCGCGGGGCGACCUGGCGGCGAGUGGCGAACGGGUGAGUAAUAUAUCGGAACGUACCCAGAAGUGGGGGAUAACGUAGCGAAAGUUACGCUAAUACCGCAUACGAUCUACGGAUGAAAGUAGGGGACCGCAAGGCCUUAUGCUUUUGGAGCGGCCGAUAUCUGAUUAGCUAGUUGGUGAGGUAAAGGCUCACCAAGGCGACGAUCAGUAGCUGGUCUGAGAGGGCGACCAGCCACACUGGAACUGAGACACGGUCCAGACUCCUACGGGAGGCAGCAGUGGGGAAUUUUGGACAAUGGGCGCAAGCCUGAUCCAGCAAUGCCGCGUGAGUGAAGAAGGCCUUCGGGUUGUAAAGCUCUUUUGUCAGGGAAGAAACGGUAGAGGCUAAUAUCCUUUGCUAAUGACGGUACCUGAAGAAUAAGCACCGGCUAACUACGUG
RNAcentral lists this ribosomal RNA (482 nucleotides) under uncultured bacterium. RNAcentral's name for it is "partial 16S ribosomal RNA". It matches the Rfam family "Bacterial small subunit ribosomal RNA", at positions 30 to 507 of the family's 1533-position model. The record is from RNAcentral.